GGGGUUGUAACUCAGUUGGUUAGAGUGUAAGUCUGUCAUACUUAAAGACGCGGGUUCAAAUCCCGUCAAUCCCG
This 74-nucleotide transfer RNA is filed under the name Imasa heleensis. Its description in RNAcentral is "tRNA-Asp". It matches the Rfam family "tRNA". Rfam says of the family: Transfer RNA (tRNA) molecules are approximately 80 nucleotides in length. Their secondary structure includes four short double-helical elements and three loops (D, anti-codon, and T loops). Lineage: Eukaryota; Malawimonada; Malawimonadea; Malawimonadida; Imasidae. The record is from RNAcentral.